Molecule: ribosomal RNA, 497 nt
Filed under: uncultured bacterium
Lineage: Bacteria
Description: partial 16S ribosomal RNA
Rfam family: Bacterial small subunit ribosomal RNA
Source: RNAcentral
GAUGAACGCUGGCGGCGUGCCUAAUACAUGCAAGUCGAGCGAACAGACGAGGAGCUUGCUCCUCUGACGUUAGCGGCGGAAGGGUGAGUAAAACGUGGAUAACCUACCUAUAAGACUGGGAUAAAUUCGGGAAACCGGAGCUAAUACCGGGUAAUAUAUUGAACCGCAUGGUUCAAUAGUGAAAGACGGUUUUGCUGUCACUUAUAGAUGGAUCCGCGCCGCAUUAGCUAGUUGGUAAGGUAACGGCUUACCAAGGCGACGAUGCGUAGCCGACCUGAGAGGGUGAUCGGCCACACUGGAACUGAGACACGGUCCAGACUCCUACGGGAGGCAGCAGUAGGGAAUCUUCCGCAAUGGGCGAAAGCCUGACGGAGCAACGCCGCGUGAGUGAUGAAGGUCUUCGGAUCGUAAAACUCUGUUAUUAGGGAAGAACAAAUGUGUAAGUAACUAUGCACGUCUUGACGGUACCUAAUCAGAAAGCCACGGCUAACUACGUG